This 68-nucleotide transfer RNA is filed under the name Marmota monax (woodchuck). RNAcentral describes it as "tRNA.Ala". It matches the Rfam family "tRNA". Rfam says of the family: Transfer RNA (tRNA) molecules are approximately 80 nucleotides in length. Their secondary structure includes four short double-helical elements and three loops (D, anti-codon, and T loops). Further hydrogen bonds mediate the characteristic L-shaped molecular structure. tRNAs have two regions of fundamental functional importance: the anti-codon, which is responsible for specific mRNA codon recognition, and the 3' end, to which the tRNAs corresponding amino acid is attached (by aminoacyl-tRNA synthetases). tRNAs cope with the degeneracy of the genetic code in two manners: having more than one tRNA (with a specific anti-codon) for a particular amino acid; and 'wobble' base-pairing, i.e. permitting non-standard base-pairing at the 3rd anti-codon position. Lineage: Eukaryota; Metazoa; Chordata; Mammalia; Rodentia; Sciuridae. The record is from RNAcentral.
GGGUGUGGCUCAGCGGUAGAGCAUUCGCCUAGCAUGUGCGAGGCCCUGGGUUCGACCCCAGCACCACA